GACGGAGGAUGCAAGUGUUAUCCGGAAUCACUGGGCGUAAAGCGUCUGUAGGUGGUCAAAUAAGUCAACUGUUAAAUCUUGAGGCUCAACCUCAAAAUCGCAGUCGAAACUAUUAGACUAGAGUAUAGUAGGGGUAAAGGGAAUUUCCGGUGGAGCGGUGAAAUGCGUAGAGAUCGGAAAGAACACCAACGGCGAAAGCACUCUGCUGGGCCGACACUGACACUGAGAGACGAAAGCUAGGGGAGCGAAUGGG
RNAcentral lists this ribosomal RNA (253 nucleotides) under uncultured bacterium. RNAcentral's name for it is "partial 16S ribosomal RNA". It matches the Rfam family "Bacterial small subunit ribosomal RNA", at positions 524 to 776 of the family's 1533-position model. The record is from RNAcentral.